This 161-nucleotide non-coding RNA is filed under the name pig gut metagenome. RNAcentral's name for it is "Lysine riboswitch". It matches the Rfam family "Lysine riboswitch aptamer". Rfam says of the family: Riboswitches are metabolite binding domains within certain messenger RNAs that serve as precision sensors for their corresponding targets. Allosteric rearrangement of mRNA structure is mediated by ligand binding, and this results in modulation of gene expression. The record is from RNAcentral.
UACAGUAGAGGCGCGUUGUGUUAUCAGUAUCGCCGUCCGUUAAAGGCUUCGCAGGUCUUUGGACGACGUGAAAGGAGCCGACGCCGAAGACGGAUGAGGCGUAAGUCCGGUCUGGGUAUAUGCAGAACAUGCAUAUAACUGUCGCAUCUUGCGGAGAGCUA